This 387-nucleotide ribosomal RNA is filed under the name Triticum aestivum (bread wheat). RNAcentral's name for it is "partial small subunit ribosomal RNA". The record is from RNAcentral. Lineage: Eukaryota; Viridiplantae; Streptophyta; Magnoliopsida; Poales; Poaceae.
AUGUCUACCACUAGACAUGCAACUACAAGCAAUGUAACCCGAUUGCAAUUGCGCCGGCACAAAGCAAUUGCAACUGGGGUUGGGAGGGGAAGUUGUCGGGGCCAGUUGCAUGUCCGUAUUAGAAAUGCAACUGCAAGUGUUGUAAUCCGACUGCAACUGCACGGGGCUCAAAGCGACUGCAACUGGGUUCCGGAAAGGAGUGGUCAGGAUACUUGUAUGUCCAGCACUAGACAUGCAACUGCAAGUGUUAUAACCCGACUGCAGCUUCAAGCGUUGUUACCCGACUGCAACUGCAGGGGGCACAAAACACUUCAACUAGGGUUGGGAAAGAACUUGUCGAGGCCAGUUGCAUGUCCACCACUAGACAUGCAACUGCAAGUGUUGUAA